GGGGCUGAUCGGUUUCGACGGUGUGCGUCGGGACAGGAGAAGCGGGCCGAGGAUGCGUGGUUAUCUCGUAAACGCUCCACGUAAACCAAUAGGUGCCAAAUCUAACCGCACCGGCUACGCCCUCGCUGCCUAAGCGAGCGGCUGCCCGUCAGCCUGGGGUUGGUUCCGCCCCAGUCACUGGCGUCGACUAGGAACCCACUGCUCAUGAGCCGCGUUACCCGGCUCACGGGGACUCUCAGGUAACUGAGCCUGGCGGCGUGUUGCUUGCCGCAGCGCCGGGGCUGAGAACACCGCAGGCAAGCUGCGCCCGGAGAAGACCUGGUUCACGGAUGCCGGACGGGGGUUCAAUUCCCCCCAGCUCCACAC
Molecule: transfer-messenger RNA, 366 nt
Filed under: Bifidobacteriaceae bacterium
Lineage: Bacteria; Bacillati; Actinomycetota; Actinomycetes; Bifidobacteriales; Bifidobacteriaceae
Rfam family: transfer-messenger RNA
About the family: Bacterial tmRNA, also known as 10Sa RNA or SsrA, is named for its dual tRNA and mRNA-like properties.
Source: RNAcentral